AGCUUGACUGCGAGCGUGACGGCGCGAGCAGGUGCGAAAGCAGGUCAUAGUGAUCCGGUGGUUCUGAAUGGAAGGGCCAUCGCUCAACGGAUAAAAGGUACUCCGGGGAUAACAGGCUGAUACCGCCCAAGAGUUCAUAUCGACGGCGGUGUUUGGCACCUCGAUGUCGGCUCAUCACAUCCUGGGGCUGAAGUAGGUCCCAAGGGUAUGGCUGUUCGCCAUUUAAAGUGGUACGCGAGCUGGGUUUAGAACGUCGUGAGACAGUUCGGUCCCUAUCUGCCGUGGGCGCUGGAGAACUGAGGGGGGCUGCUCCUAGUACGAGAGGACCGGAGUGGACGCAUCACUGGUGUUCGGGUUGUCAUGCCAAUGGCACUGCCCGGUAGCUAAAUGCGGAAGAGAUAAGUGCUGAAAGCAUCUAAGCACGAAACUUGCCCCGAGAUGAGUUCUCCCUGACUCCUUGAGAGUCCUGAAGGAACGUUGAAGACGACGACGUUGAUAGGCCGGGUGUGUAAGCGCAGCGAUGCGUUGAGCUAACCGGUA
RNAcentral lists this ribosomal RNA (540 nucleotides) under Escherichia coli. Its description in RNAcentral is "partial 23S ribosomal RNA". It matches the Rfam family "Bacterial large subunit ribosomal RNA", at positions 2366 to 2900 of the family's 2925-position model. The record is from RNAcentral. Lineage: Bacteria; Pseudomonadati; Pseudomonadota; Gammaproteobacteria; Enterobacterales; Enterobacteriaceae.